GCCAUCCAGUACCUUCAGUUGCUGCAUCGAAAGCUUCAUCUGAGCUUUAUCAAAUCCAAGGCAAGAGAGGAAUAUGGUUUUGUGGAGCAUAUCAAGGCUAUGGCUUCCAUGAGGAUGGACUAAAGGCAGGUGCUAUUGCUGCACAAGGACUACUUAAGAAAAACUUUAGCGUCCUGAAAAAUCCCACACACAUGGUACCUACCUGGCCAGAAACAGGAGCACGCCUCCUCGUUACUAGAUUUCUCAAGAGUUUCAUCGCGACAGGAUGCUUAAUCCUGUUAG
This 282-nucleotide unclassified non-coding RNA is filed under the name Hevea brasiliensis (rubber tree). The record is from RNAcentral. Lineage: Eukaryota; Viridiplantae; Streptophyta; Magnoliopsida; Malpighiales; Euphorbiaceae.